GCACAAUGGGCGCAAGCCUGAUGCAGCCAUGCCGCGUGUGUGAAGAAGGCCUUCGGGUUGUAAAGCACUUUCAGUCGUGAGGAAGGUAGUGUAGUUAAUAGCUGCAUUAUUUGACGUUAGCGACAGAAGAAGCACCGGCUAACUCCGUGCCAGCAGCCGCGGUAAUACGGAGGGUGCGAGCGUUAAUCGGAAUUACUGGGCGUAAAGCGCAUGCAGGUGGUUUGUUAAGUCAGAUGUGAAAGCCCCGGGGCUCAACCUCGGAAUUGCAUUUGAAACUGGCAGACUAGAGUACUGUAGAGGGGGUAGAAUUUCAGGUGUAGCGGUGAAAUGCGUAGAGAUCUGAAGGAAUACCGGUGGCGAAGGCGGCCCCCUGGACAGAUACUGACACUCAGAUGCGAAAGCGUGGGGAGCAAACAGGAUUAGAUACCCUGGUAG
RNAcentral lists this ribosomal RNA (435 nucleotides) under uncultured bacterium. RNAcentral describes it as "bacterial SSU rRNA". It matches the Rfam family "Bacterial small subunit ribosomal RNA", at positions 366 to 793 of the family's 1533-position model. The record is from RNAcentral.